AGGGAUGUAGCGCAGCUUGGUAGCGCGUUUGUUUUGGGUACAAAAUGUCACGGGUUGUCAUCCCUA
RNAcentral lists this transfer RNA (66 nucleotides) under Phalaenopsis mannii. RNAcentral's name for it is "tRNA-Pro". It matches the Rfam family "tRNA". From Rfam's summary of the family: Transfer RNA (tRNA) molecules are approximately 80 nucleotides in length. Lineage: Eukaryota; Viridiplantae; Streptophyta; Magnoliopsida; Asparagales; Orchidaceae. RNAcentral also lists the same sequence under 2 other names. The record is from RNAcentral.